GCAUGUCUCAGUACAAGCCAAAAUAAGGUGAAACCGCGAAAGGCUCAUUAAAUCAGUUAUGGUUCCUUAGAUCGUACCCACAUUUACUUGGAUAACUGUGGUAAUUCUAGAGCUAAUACAUGCAAACAGAGCUCCGACCGGAGACGGAAGGAGUGCUUUUAUUAGAUCAAAACCAAUCGGCGUCAGUAGCGUUUCGGCGUUAUUGUUCGUCGCACUUUUUGGUGACUCUGAAUAACUUUUGGCUGAUCGCACGGUCUUGCACCGGCGACGCAUCUUUCAAAUGUCUGCCUUAUCAACUGUCGAUGGUAGGUUCUGCGCCUACCAUGGUUGUAACGGGUAACGGGGAAUCAGGGUUCGAUUCCGGAGAGGGAGCCUGAGAAACGGCUACCACAUCCAAGGAAGGCAGCAGGCGCGCAAAUUACCCACUCCCGGCACGGGGAGGUAGUGACGAAAAAUAACGAUACGGGACUCAUCCGAGGCCCCGUAAUCGGAAUGAGUACACUUUAAAUCCUAUAACAAGGACCAAUUAGAGGGCCAGUCUGGUGCCAGCCGCCGCGGUAACUCCAGCUCUAAUAGCGUAUAUUAAAGUUGUUGCGGUUAAAAAGCUCGUAGUUGAAUCUGUGUUUCGCGCUGUCRGUUCACCGCCCGCGGUGUUUAACUGGCACGUCUCGCGRAACGUCCUGCCGGUGGAUGCGUGUCCUUUGUCUACUUACCCAUUAUGCGUGUGCAACUCCGGUUGUUACUGUAUAGUGCGGUGAGGUUCAAAUGUGUCACCAUCCGACUCAAUAAUCCUGUCGCGGUGCUCUUAAUUGAGUGUCGAGGCGGGCCGGCACGUUUACUUUGAACAAAUUAGAGUGCUCAAAGCAGGCUAAAAUUUCGCCUGAAUACUGUGUGCAUSGAAUAAUGGAACAGGACCUCGGUUCUAUUUUGUUGGUUUUCGGAACCCCGAGGUAAUGAUUAAUAGGGACAGAUGGGGGCAUUYGUAUUGCGACGUUAGAGGUGAAAUUCUUGSMUSGUCGCAAGACGKACWGAAGCGAAAGCAUUUGCCAAAAAUGUUUUCRUUAAUCAAGAMCGAAAGUCAGAUGUUCGAMGGCGAUCAGAUACCGCCCUAGUUCUGACCAUAAACGAUGCCAGCUAGCGAUCCGCCGACGUUCCUCCGAUGRCUCGKCRGRCAGCUWCCGGGAAACCAAAGCAUWUGRGWUCYRSSKGAAGUAYKGUUGCAAAKCUGRRACUUAAAGGAAUUSACGGAAGGGCACCACCAGGAGUGGAGCCUGCGGCUUAAUUUGACUCAACACGGGAAACCUCACCAGGCCCGGACACCGGAAGGAUUGACAGAUUGAUAGCUCUUUCUUGAUUCGGUGGGUGGUGGUGCAUGGCCGUUCUUAGUUGGUGGUGUGAAUUGUCUGGUUAAUUUCGAUAACGAACGAGACGCUAACCUGCUAAAUAGGCGUAUUUCUGGUAUCCUGAAGGCUUGUGUCUCUCGUUUUCUGUCGUAUUUUAGCUGUAGUGUAUCAUCGUUUAGGCGGUGUGCAUUAUACUAGAUGCGUUUCAGUGCGGGAGUUCACAGUUUUUACUACCAGCGUACAUAUAAAUCUUCUUAGAGGGACAGGCGGCUUUGAGCCGCACGAGAUUGAGCAAUAACAGGUCUGUGAUGCCCUUAGAUGUUCUGGGCCGCACGCGCGCUACACUGAAGGAAUCAGCGUGUCUUCCCUGGCCGAACGGCCCGGGUAACCCGCUGAACCUCCUUCGUGCUAGGGAUUGGGGCUUGCAAUUGUUCCCCAUGAACGAGGAAUUCCCAGUAAGCGCGAGUCAUAAGCUCGCGUUGAUUAAGUCCCUGCCCUUUGUACACACCGCCCGUCGCUACUACCGAUUGAAUGAUUUAGUGAGGUCCUCGGACUGGUACGCGGGGUCGUAUUCACGU
RNAcentral lists this ribosomal RNA (1921 nucleotides) under Bembidion nahuala. RNAcentral describes it as "SSU rRNA". Lineage: Eukaryota; Metazoa; Arthropoda; Insecta; Coleoptera; Carabidae. The record is from RNAcentral.